This 2461-nucleotide long non-coding RNA is filed under the name Sus scrofa (pig). RNAcentral describes it as "lncRNA (ENSSSCG00025068309.1, ENSSSCG00055012662.1)". Lineage: Eukaryota; Metazoa; Chordata; Mammalia; Artiodactyla; Suidae. The record is from RNAcentral.
CUUGAUGUCUAUUUUGUCUAAUAUAUGUAUGACUACACCCACUGUAUUUUUGUGUCUGUUUGUUUGGAAUAUCAUCUUCUAUUCUUUCACUUUGAGCCUGUAUGAGUCUUUAGAACUGAAAUGAGUAACCUACAUGCAGAAUAUAGUUGAGUCUUGUUUUGUUUGCUUGUUUUUUUGUUUGUUUGUUUUUUCUGUCUAGCCAGUCAUUCUGUGCUUUGAAUUGGUAAAUUCAACCCAUUUACAUUUAGGGUGAUUAUUGAUAUGUAAGCACUUACUACUGCCAUUUUAUCUUUUGCCUUCUGGUUAUUUUGUUUCUUUUUCAUUAUGUUCCUGUUUACUUUUAUAGUUGUUGGUUUCAAGGUGAUUUCCUCAGUCUCCUCUUUUUUGUUUUUUGCCUCUGCUCUGGAUUUUCACUUUGUGUUAUUUUUAAUGCUCUUUUCCAGUAACCCUAAGCCAUAGUUAAGAGUUUACUACUCUAAGAAAAUAGUUAUGGUGUUUUAAUUUUGACUAUCAUAUCAAUCAGUUUUGUAUAUUUCAUCUUUUUGUUUUAGCUCUAAAAGCUCUUUUUGAAAUCUCUCUUAAGGCAGGACUAGUGAUAAACUCACUCAGCUUUUGAUUGUCUGAUAAAGUCUUUAUUUCUUCUUCAUAUUUGAAGGAUAACUUUGCCAUCAGGUAGAGUAUUCUUGGCUAGCAGUAUUCUUGGCCAGCAGUUUCUACCCUUCCAAUAUUUUGAAUAUCAUUCCACUCUCUCCUAGCCUACCUAGGAGAGAGUUUCUGCUGAGAAAUCUGCUGAAAGUCUAAUGGGGAUUCUUUUGUAGGUCACUGUCCUUUUUUCCCAGGCUGCCUUUAAAAUUUUUUAUCAUUGAAUUUUAUCAGACUUAACAUAAUGUGUCUUGAAGAGAGUCUUUGCUUUGUAAUAAUUAGAUAUUCUAUUAGCUUUGUGGAGUUGUAUUUCUAGUUCCUUCCUCAGGUUUGGGAAGUUCUCAACUAUUAUUUCUUUAAAUAUGCUCUCUGCUUCCUUCUUCUUAUUUUCUUUUCAUUGAUACCCAUUACUCUUAUGUUGGCUUUUCUAAUGGAGUCAGAUCAUUCUUGUAGUGUUUAUUCACUUUUUAAAAAUCUUAGUUUUCUAUUCCACCUGAAUCAUUUAUAUAUUUCUAAUCUUGACCUCACUUAUUCUCUCUUUCAUCUGAUCUGUUCUAUGCCCAGUGCUUUCUAAUGCUUUCCUCAUCUCAUUUAUUGAUGAGGAAGCUCCAGAAUUUCUUUUUGGUUCUUCUUAAGGAUUUCUAUCUCUUUGGUAAAGUACUCUUUCUUACUCCUUCUGUUCCUUAAUUUUAUUCCUGAGAUCAUUGUAUUGCCUUUCUGAGUUUUCAUGUAGCUUGUUCAAUUUUUUCAUGACAGUUAUUUUAAAUUACAAUAUUCCAACUUUGGGUUUAGUUGAUGGAAAAUUAUCCCUUUUUGUGAUAUCAUAUUAGCAUGGCUUUUCAUGGUAAAGGAUAGAAGUGUCCCUGCUGCCUUACUUAAAAUAGUGAACAUGUUUUGAUUUAGGCAGGUCUUUGUUUACUUUGAUUCUAAUAAUUCAACAGGUUGGUAGUAGUUGGGAGCCUUCCUUUUGUGUUCCAGAAGGUGGCACUGUAGCAUAAGUUUUUGGUUUCUCUUAACCUGACUCACCACUAAGGUUGGGAGUACACUAAUUUUAAAAAAUAAAAAUAAAAGCAAUGUGUGGUAGCACGGUUGGGCGAGGGGGAUACUUAGCAUUAGCACUUGUGGCUUUGGGUGUGCCUACAGCUUGUAAGGGGUCUUAAAGUGAGGGAACGAAGGGUCCCAGAGGCCCAAGGGCAUUUCCAUUGCCUCCCUAGGUCAAACAACAGGAGAUGUUUUCCUGUGGUUCUCUUUGUCUGCCAAUUUUCCUUUCCUUUCCUUCCCCCUAGACAGUGUGGUCACUCUUCAGAGAAGGCAACUUGUCCCUCCAGCUGCAGUGCAAGUAGCCAGGCAGAUCUCCACUUAACCACCUUCACCCUCUGCCUCUUCUGCCAGAAAGGUCAUGCUGGCUCACUGCUGGACUGGCUGUCACCUUCUCUGCCAUCACUGCCUCUGCCACCACUUCCCUUGCUAUGCAAUCUCCUUGGGGUCCAAUCCACCCAUUUUGGGGUGUUCUGAUAUGCUGUACAGAGGAACUUUUAUUUGGUUAUUUGGACAUUGGAUGUUUAAUUUGUCGUAAGUCAAAGAGCAGAGAACAAGGGAAUGACUCAUGUUGCCAUGAUGCUGACAUCAGUCUUCACCCAUUAUCUUUUAAAAGUACCGUACCUCAUAUUUGUAUUCCAUUUUUUUCAAAGUACCAUACACCAUGUUUGCAAAUCUUAAAUAUAUCCCUUGUCAUAUAAAAGUAAAGCAUUAUCAACUCCUCUUUUGCUUACCUUAUCAUAUGUCUGUAAAUUAAAAAUUGAUUUGUAUCUGUAGUUAA